RNAcentral lists this ribosomal RNA (1547 nucleotides) under human gut metagenome. Its description in RNAcentral is "bacterial LSU rRNA". It matches the Rfam family "Bacterial large subunit ribosomal RNA", at positions 803 to 2436 of the family's 2925-position model. The record is from RNAcentral.
GAUGAACUGUGGGUAGCGGAGAAAUUCCAAUCGAACCCGGAGAUAGCUGGUUCUCCCCGAAAUAGUUUUAGGACUAGCCUCAAGUUAGAUACCUGGAGGUAAAGCACUGAAUAGCCUAGCGGCCGAGAGGUUAGCGAAGCUUAUCAAACUCAGAAUGCCAGAGUAUUGAUGCUUGGGAGUCAGACAGUGUCAGAUAAAUGUCAUUGUCAAAAGGGAAACAGCCCAGAUCUACAGCUAAGGUCCCAAAGUCAGGUUAAGUGGAAAACGAUGUGAAGAUACGCAGACAACCAGGAUGUUGGCUCAGAAGCAGCCACUCAUUCAAAGAGUGCGUAAUAGCUCACUGGUCGAGCGUCUUUGCGCGGAGAAUUUAACGGGGCUAAACCUGACACCGAAGCUUAGGCAAUACAGCAAUGUAUUGGGUAGGGGAGCGUUGUAUACGCGGAGAAACAGUAGCGCAAGCGGCUGUGGAGUGUAUAGAAGUGAGAAUGCCGGAAUGAGUAGCGCGAAUGCAGUGAGAAUCUGCAUGGCCGAAAGCCUCAGGUUUCUGGAGGAAGGUUCGUCCGCUCCAGGUUAGUCGGGAGCUAAGGUGAGGCCGGAAGGCGUAGCCGAUGCACAGACGGUAGAGAUUCCGUCACCACCAAAAGAGUUAAGCACAGGGACACAUAUGAAGUCUCAGAGCCGGGUGUUGGUUCCGGUAGAGAUCGAGGGAAAUUAGUACCGAAGUCUGAGAUGGAAGAUGGCGAGAAAAGCUGUGUGUAUUUCUGAGGUGCCCGUACCGCAAACCGACACAGGUAGGUAGGAAGAAGAUUCUAAGGCCAACGGGAGAAGGGUUGUUAAGGAACUCGGCAAAUUGACCCCGUAACUUCGGGAGAAGGGGUGCUCCAGAGAUGGAGCCGCAGAGAAUCGGCCCAAGCAACUGUUUACCAAAAACACAGGUUUGUGCUAAAUCGAAAGAUGACGUAUACGAGCUGACGCCUGCCCGGUGCUGGAAGGUUAAGAGGAGAUGUGCAAGCAUUGAAUCGAAGCCCCAGUGAACGGCGGCCGUAACUAUAACGGUCCUAAGGUAGCGAAAUUCCUUGUCAGGUAAGUUCUGACCCGCAUGAAAGGCGUAAUGAUUUGGGCACUGUCUCAACAGCCCGCCCGGCGAAAUUGUAGUACCGGUGAAGAUGCCGGUUACCCGCGACAAGACGGAAAGACCCCAUGGAGCUUUACUGUAGCCUAAUAUUGGGUUUCGAUGUUGCAUGCACAGGAUAGAUGGGACACUGGGAAACAAUCGCUUUGGCGGUUGCGGAGUGGCCGUUGGGAUACCAUCCUUGCGAUAUUGGAAUUCUAACCUGCGGCUCUGAAUCGAGUCGGGGGACAUUGUUAGGUGGGCAGUUUGACUGGGGCGGUCGCCUCCUAAAGAGUAACGGAGGCGUUCAAAGGUUCGCUCAGCUUGAACGGAAAUCAAGCAAAAGAGUGCAAACGCAGAAGCGAGCCUAACUGCGAGACUGACGGGUCGAGCAGUAACGAAAGUUGGAGUUAGUGAUCCGGUGGUAUGUGAGUGG